GCUUUGAGUUGAUGGUGCAAAUAUUUUCUUAACAGUCAAUGAAGGAUAAAAAAGAUAGAGAAAGUACAUUGCAACAAUAUUUAUUAUGCAUGAAGGGAGACUUUUCUGUUCAUUCUACGUACCAAGGAUUAACACGAUUAUACAUCUUAUAUAUAAGGAGGUUGGUCCACUUUAUUUUAUUGCGAUAAAUGUCGAGUAAGAUAGGAUAUGG
This 211-nucleotide long non-coding RNA is filed under the name Elaeis guineensis (African oil palm). RNAcentral's name for it is "long non-coding RNA (EGUI_LNC038182)". The record is from RNAcentral. Lineage: Eukaryota; Viridiplantae; Streptophyta; Magnoliopsida; Arecales; Arecaceae.